RNAcentral lists this microRNA precursor (88 nucleotides) under Vicugna pacos (alpaca). RNAcentral's name for it is "miRNA (ENSVPAG00000017022.1)". The record is from RNAcentral. Lineage: Eukaryota; Metazoa; Chordata; Mammalia; Artiodactyla; Camelidae.
GGAGCAGCAGCGGGCGGGGCUGGGCUGGGCUGGGGGGCGAGAACGGCUGUCCUGCUGGCUCUGUCCCUGGCUUUGGCUGUACCUUCAU